AAUGAACGCUGGCGGUAGGCCUAACACAUGCAAGUCGAACGGCAGCACAGAGGAGCUUGCUCCUUGGGUGGCGAGUGGCGGACGGGUGAGGAAUACAUCGGAAUCUACUCUGUCGUGGGGGAUAACGUAGGGAAACUUACGCUAAUACCGCAUACGACCUACGGGUGAAAGCAGGGGAUCUUCGGACCUUGCGCGAUUGAAUGAGCCGAUGUCGGAUUAGCUAGUUGGCGGGGUAAAGGCCCACCAAGGCGACGAUCCGUAGCUGGUCUGAGAGGAUGAUCAGCCAAAAUGGAACUGGGACACGGUCCAGACUCCUACGGGAGGCAGCAGUGGGGAAUAUUGGACAAUGGGCGCAAGCCUGAUCCAGCCAUACCGCGUGGGUGAAGAAGGCCUUCGGGUUGUAAAGCCCUUUUGUUGGGAAAGAAAUCCAGCUGGUUAAUACCCGGUUGGGAUGACGGUACCCAAAGAAUAAGCACCGGCUAACUUCGUGCCAGCAGCCGCCGUAA
This 506-nucleotide ribosomal RNA is filed under the name uncultured bacterium. RNAcentral describes it as "partial 16S ribosomal RNA". It matches the Rfam family "Bacterial small subunit ribosomal RNA", at positions 29 to 523 of the family's 1533-position model. The record is from RNAcentral.